UAUUCCUACCUUUAAAGUGUU
Caenorhabditis elegans is the source of this 21-nucleotide non-coding RNA. The record is from Ensembl. Lineage: Eukaryota; Metazoa; Nematoda; Chromadorea; Rhabditida; Rhabditidae.